This 450-nucleotide ribosomal RNA is filed under the name uncultured bacterium. RNAcentral describes it as "partial 16S ribosomal RNA". It matches the Rfam family "Bacterial small subunit ribosomal RNA", at positions 338 to 795 of the family's 1533-position model. The record is from RNAcentral.
CCUACGGGGGGCUGCAGUGGGGAAUAUUGGACAAUGGGCGCAAGCCUGAUCCAGCCACGCCGCGUGAGUGAUGAAGGCCUUCGGGUCGUAAAGCUCUGUGGGGAGGGACGAACCGCUGUCGGUUAAUACCCGGCAGCCUGACGGUACCUCCUUAGCAAGCACCGGCUAACUUCGUGCCAGCAGCCGCGGUAAUACGAAGGGUGCAAACGUUGCUCGGAAGCAUUGGUAGUAAGGCUCGCGUGUUCGAUGUGAAAGCCCUCGGCUUAACCAAGGAAGUGCAUCCAAAACUGCUGAGCUUGAGUAGUUAAGAGGAUCGCGGAAUUCCCGGUGUAGAGGUGAAAUUCGUAGAUAUCGGGAGGAACACCAGUGGCGAAGGCGGCGAUCUGGGAACAUACUGACGCUGAGGUGCGAAAGCGUGGGGAGCAAACAGGAUUAGAUACCCCUGUAGUC